GAUGAAGAACGUAGCGAAAUGCGAUAAGUAAUGUGAAUUGCAGAAUUCAGUGAAUCAUCGAAUCUUUGAACGCACAUAGCGCCCCUUGGUAUUCCGAGGGGCAUGCCUGUUCGAGCGUCAUUAUAACCCCUCAAGCUCAGCUUGGUGUUGGGGCCUGCUGCACUGGCAGCCCUUAAAAUCAGUGGCGGCGCCAUCUGGCUCUAAGCGUAGUAAUUCUUCUCGCUAUGGAGUCCUGGUGGAUGCUUGCCAUCAACCCCCAAUUUUUCUAUGGUUGACCUCGGAUCAGGUAGGGAUACCCGCUGAACUUAAGCAUAUCAAUAAGCGGAGGA
RNAcentral lists this unclassified non-coding RNA (329 nucleotides) under soil metagenome. RNAcentral describes it as "partial contains 5.8S ribosomal RNA, internal transcribed spacer 2, and large subunit ribosomal RNA". The stretch from base 1 to 120 matches the Rfam family "5.8S ribosomal RNA", at positions 35 to 154 of the family's 154-position model. The record is from RNAcentral.